This 218-nucleotide ribosomal RNA is filed under the name Staphylococcus epidermidis. RNAcentral describes it as "partial 16S ribosomal RNA". It matches the Rfam family "Bacterial small subunit ribosomal RNA", at positions 1 to 212 of the family's 1533-position model. The record is from RNAcentral. RNAcentral also lists the same sequence under 1 other name. Lineage: Bacteria; Bacillati; Bacillota; Bacilli; Caryophanales; Staphylococcaceae.
UUUAUGGAGAGUUUGAUCCUGGCUCAGGAUGAACGCUGGCGGCGUGCCUAAUACAUGCAAGUCGAGCGAACAGACGAGGAGCUUGCUCCUUUGACGUUAGCGGCGGACGGGUGAGUAACACGUGGGUAACCUACCUAUAAGACUGGGAUAACUUCGGGAAACCGGAGCUAAUACCGGAUAAUAUUUCGAACCGCAUGGUUCGAUAGUGAAAGAUGGCU